UGCAAGUCGUACGCGAAAGCGGCCUUCGGGCCGCGAGUAGAGUGGCGAACGGGUGAGUAUCGCGUGGGUGACCUGCCUUCGAGUGGGGGAUAACCUUCCGAAAGGGGGGCUAAUACCGCAUAACAUCCCGCCCUUGGAUGGGUGGUGAUCAAAGUCGGGGAUCUUCGGACCUGGCGCUUGAAGAGGGACCCGCGUCCGAUUAGCUUGUUGGUGGGGUAGCGGCCUACCAAGGCGACGAUCGGUAGCCGGCCUGAGAGGGCGGACGGCCACACUGGGACUGAGACACGGCCCAGACUUCUACGGGAGGCAGCAGUAAGGAAUUGUUCGCAAUGGGCGCAAGCCUGACGACGCAACGCCGCGUGGAGGACGAAGAUCUUCGGGUUGUAAACUCCUGUCAAGCGGGAAGAACAGCGUGCGGGUUAAUACCCCGCACGCCUGACGGUACCGCUGAAGGAAGCCCCGGCUAACUCCGUGCCAGCAGCCGCGGUAAUACGGGGGGGGCAAGCGUUGUUCGGAAUUACUGGGCGUAAAGGGCUCGUAGGCGGCCAGCCAAGUCGGACGUGAAAUCCCUCGCCUCAACCGGGGAACUGCAUCCGAUACUGGUUGGCUUGAAGCCGGGAGAGGGAUGCGGAAUUCCAGGUGUAGCGGUGAAAUGCGUAGAUAUCUGGAGGAACACCGGUGGCGAAGGCGGCAUCCUGGACCGGUCUUGACGCUGAGGAGCGAAAGCCA
This 729-nucleotide ribosomal RNA is filed under the name uncultured bacterium. RNAcentral's name for it is "bacterial SSU rRNA". It matches the Rfam family "Bacterial small subunit ribosomal RNA", at positions 56 to 762 of the family's 1533-position model. The record is from RNAcentral.